UGGAGUGGCUCAGAUAAGAAGGCAAGAGCAUCCUCCACAUUUUCAAGGGGAACUUCUGACUCUGGUUUUGGCAGCGUUCACAUGCCUGGAAUGGGUAAUUCUGCUUACAACAUGAUUGGUUAUCCACCUACACAAAGUCUUGGAAACCUCGACGCAAGAGCUGCUAGUGAGAUAA
Molecule: long non-coding RNA, 175 nt
Organism: Pistacia vera
Lineage: Eukaryota; Viridiplantae; Streptophyta; Magnoliopsida; Sapindales; Anacardiaceae
Exons: 3
Source: RefSeq, a predicted model, not a curated record